AUGACACUGACUUGCCUCUUGCCACAGAAAAAUCUGAUUUCUGUGUAAACUGUGGGGAAUCAGCUGUGCCAAGACCGUCCAGGUGGAGUUAAGCUGAGCAUGGUACAGCCUGUCAGAGAAUAUCUCCUUACAAAAGCCAGACAUGAAUCACUUUGAUGAAUGUGUUUUACCCACCUGGUCCUAUCAUUCCAUGGUGUGGUUAACCUAACACAGAGAGCAAAUAAUUCAGCUCCAUCCAGCAGAAAACUUGGCUCUCUCCCUCUUCCCCACCAGCUUUUGUCAGGAGCAGAGCCAAAGAAAUUUCCUGCAGUUUCAAGAGUUUAUGGCCUGAUCUAAGGAAAACACAAUGUAAUUCUUAUGGAACUUCUUAACAACAGCUGCCAGCCUUUCCUCUACUCU
Molecule: long non-coding RNA, 399 nt
Filed under: Cyanistes caeruleus (blue tit)
Lineage: Eukaryota; Metazoa; Chordata; Aves; Passeriformes; Paridae
Description: lncRNA (ENSCCEG00000000654.1)
Source: RNAcentral